CAAGGUAUGAGGUAUCGUCCGGAGCAGU
Molecule: small RNA, 28 nt
Filed under: Bombyx mori (domestic silkworm)
Lineage: Eukaryota; Metazoa; Arthropoda; Insecta; Lepidoptera; Bombycidae
Description: ovarian small RNA-12847
Source: RNAcentral